UAUACUAGUGAAAUAUCUAAGAAUUUGGUCAACCGGAACAAUGGCUUAUAAUAGGACUCGAAGUGGACUAAAUCGCUGGGGCAUAAAUUGUGCCAAGACCACUAAGUUUGUACCAGCAUAAUUCUAAGUAUUGUGUGGAACACUACCAGGUUGUGCCAUUACAGUCACUAUGUCUUCAGUGCUUCAUGAAACACCUGAACAACGACUAAUAUUACUGAAGUAUUGUGUGGAACAUUACCCGGUUGUGUCAUUACAGUCACUAUGUCUUCAGUAAUCAAGAAACACCUGAACAACGACUAAUAUUACUGAAGUAUUGUGUGGAACACUACCAGGUUGUGCCAUUACCGUCACUAUGUCUCCAGUACUUCAAGAACAGCAACAUCUGUUAUUCUUGUGAAUUUUUAACUCAUCAGGUCAGCAAUUUCGCCUGCCUUGAAGGGAACAGUUAAUGUACAGCAGUAUUCCAGCUAGAGAGAACAAGUGAUUUGAAGAGAAUUGUCAUGGGCUUGGUGUCCCUAGUUUGGAAGGUUCUCAUUAUCCAUCCUAUCAUUUUCCUAACAGAUGCAGUAGAUACAUUGUUAUGGUCUUUGAAGACGAGAUCCUCUGACAUUAUCACUCCCAGGUAUAAAUUUGCCAUGAAAAACCUGUUGUGAGCAUCUCUGUAUCACACUCCGGAUAAACUGGCCAUCCUAAAUCAGAGCAUUUAGAGCCAUUAGUGUACACAUCAGUAGCACAUAAGUGCAAUUGAUAAUCUUUAAUAAACAGGGAGCACAUCUCUAUAGUAAAGAUACAAAAUUUUGGGAAGGGGAGAAAGGGGAUGACAUGG
Non-coding RNA from Cherax quadricarinatus, 826 nucleotides. The record is from RefSeq and is a predicted model, not a curated record. NCBI's taxonomy places the organism in Eukaryota, Metazoa, Arthropoda, Malacostraca, Decapoda, Parastacidae.